Molecule: ribosomal RNA, 277 nt
Filed under: uncultured bacterium
Lineage: Bacteria
Description: partial 16S ribosomal RNA
Rfam family: Bacterial small subunit ribosomal RNA
Source: RNAcentral
GAUAAACGCUGGCGGCGUGCCUUACGCAUGCAAGUCGAACGGAAGGCUUCGGCCUUCAGUGGCGGACGGGUGAGUAACACGUACGUGACCUGACGGUUGGUGGGGGAUACCCGUCCGAAAGGGCGGCUAAUACCGCAUGUGGUCCCUGGGGGUGCCCGGGGAAGAAAGCGUGCAAGCGUGCCAGCUGAGGGGCGUGCGGCCGAUUAGCUAGCUGGUGGGGUAAUGGCCUACCAGGGCGACGAUCGGUAGCUGGGCUGAGAGGCCGAGCAGCCACACU